Molecule: ribosomal RNA, 253 nt
Filed under: Dorea longicatena
Lineage: Bacteria; Bacillati; Bacillota; Clostridia; Lachnospirales; Lachnospiraceae
Description: partial 16S ribosomal RNA
Rfam family: Bacterial small subunit ribosomal RNA
Source: RNAcentral
UACGUAGGGGGCAAGCGUUAUCCGGAUUUACUGGGUGUAAAGGGAGCGUAGACGGCAUUGCAAGCCAGAUGUGAAAGCCCGGGGCUCAACCCCGGGACUGCAUUUGGAACUGCAGAGCUAGAGUGUCGGAGAGGCAAGUGGAAUUCCUAGUGUAGCGGUGAAAUGCGUAGAUAUUAGGAGGAACACCAGUGGCGAAGGCGGCUUGCUGGACGAUGACUGACGUUGAGGCUCGAAAGCGUGGGGAGCAAACAGG